UUUCAUAUUAAUAAUUUGUCAGAUGAUUUAUCUUGAUAUACAUAUACAUAUACAUACUAAAUAUAUUAUCAUAACGUAGUGGAAUACAUGUCAGAGAUCAGAUGACACCCGAAGGUGACCAGAUGACACCCGAGGGUGACCAGAUGACACUCAAAAGUGACCAGAUGACACCCGAAGGUGACCACUGUGGGAUGAUCAGUCGCCACAGGCUGAUGCUUCUCUCAUCAGCUAGGUAUACAGAAUACUAUGUGCACAUAGGCUAACUACUCUCCGUUAGCAUGGAGUUACUGACAAGUCCUAUAUCAAGGCAUAAUAGAUAUUUACAGAAUCAUCAAAGAAACGUAUAUCAUAUCAAAUAGAAUUUACUUUGACAGAUUCUAAG
Populus euphratica (Euphrates poplar) is the source of this 382-nucleotide long non-coding RNA. RefSeq lists it as uncharacterized. The transcript is spliced from 4 exons. The record is from RefSeq and is a predicted model, not a curated record. NCBI's taxonomy places the organism in Eukaryota, Viridiplantae, Streptophyta, Magnoliopsida, Malpighiales, Salicaceae.